This 550-nucleotide unclassified non-coding RNA is filed under the name Hevea brasiliensis (rubber tree). Lineage: Eukaryota; Viridiplantae; Streptophyta; Magnoliopsida; Malpighiales; Euphorbiaceae. The record is from RNAcentral.
AAGAAACUGAAGCGAAGAUGAGAGUAUCGAUCAAGAUCUGUGUAGCGACAUUGGCUCUAGUGAUUGGGUACCUGUGGUUCGAAUACAUCUACAAGUUGGAACGGUUCACCUAUAAUAAGUACCAUCCAUAUACAUCAUGGAUUCCGAUAACUGUAUACAUAUGCUUACGAAACAUCACUCAGCAAUUCAGGAGCUUUUCUCUUACCCUAUUUGGGUGGCUUGGAAAGAUAACACUGGAGACCUACAUAUCACAGAUCCACAUUUGGCUCAGAUCUGGAAUGCCCAAUGGACAGCCUCGAUGGUUGCUUUCGAUUAUCCCGAACUACCCGAUGCUGAACUUCAUGCUCACUGGCGCCAUAUAUAUUGCGGUCUCUCACAGGAUCUUUGAAUUGACAAACACACUGAAGAUCGCAUUUGUGCCUAGUCGGGACAACAAACGCCUAACACGUAAUGCGAUUACAGCGGCUAUUGUUUCAGUUAUCUUGUAUUCCUUGGCGUAUAUGUUCCUCAGCGUUCCGAAGAUUAUGGUAUUUUUCGAUCUUCACAACAC